RNAcentral lists this ribosomal RNA (493 nucleotides) under uncultured bacterium. RNAcentral's name for it is "partial 16S ribosomal RNA". It matches the Rfam family "Bacterial small subunit ribosomal RNA", at positions 28 to 507 of the family's 1533-position model. The record is from RNAcentral.
GACGAACGCUGGCGGCGUGCUUAACACAUGCAAGUCGAACGGAAAGGCCUGCUUUCCCUUGUGGAUUUCGGGUACUCGAGUGGCGAACGGGUGAGUAACACGUGAGUGAUCUGCCCCCAACUUGGUAUAAGCCUGGGAAACUGGGUCUAAUUCCCGAUAGGACCGCAGGGUGGCGCCUGGGGUGGAAAACGAUUUUCUAGUGGUUGGGGAUGAGCUCGCGGCCUAUCAGCUUGUUGGUGGGGUAAUGGCCUACCAAGGCGGCGACGGGUAGCCGGCCUGAGAGGGUGGACGGUCACAUUGGGACUGGGAUACGGCCCAGACUCCUACGGGAGGCAGCAGUGGGGAAUAUUGCACAAUGGGCGGAAGCCUGAUGCAGCGACGCCGCGUGGGGGAUGACGGCCUUCGGGUUGUAAACUCCUUUCGACCGCGAGGAAGCCACCUGGUUGGAAGGGUGGUGACGGUAGUGGUAGAAGAAGCACCGGCUAACUACGUG